Molecule: ribosomal RNA, 594 nt
Filed under: uncultured Delftia sp.
Lineage: Bacteria; Pseudomonadati; Pseudomonadota; Betaproteobacteria; Burkholderiales; Comamonadaceae
Description: bacterial SSU rRNA
Rfam family: Bacterial small subunit ribosomal RNA
Source: RNAcentral
CCAGCAGCCGCGGUAAUACGUAGGGUGCGAGCGUUAAUCGGAAUUACUGGGCGUAAAGCGUGCGCAGGCGGUUAUGUAAGACAGAUGUGAAAUCCCCGGGCUCAACCUGGGAACUGCAUUUGUGACUGCAUGGCUAGAGUACGGUAGAGGGGGAUGGAAUUCCGCGUGUAGCAGUGAAAUGCGUAGAUAUGCGGAGGAACACCGAUGGCGAAGGCAAUCCCCUGGACCUGUACAGACGCUCAUGCACGAAAGCGUGGGGAGCAAACAGGACUAGAUACCCUGGUAGUCCACGCCCUAAACGAUGUCAACUGGUUGUUGGGAAUUAGUCUUCUCAGUAACGAAGCUAACGCGUGAAGUUGACCGCCUGGGGAGUACGGCCGCAAGGUCGAAACUCAAAGGAAUUGACGGGGACCCGCACAAGCGGUGGAUGAUGUGGUUUAAUUCGAUGCAACGCGAAAAACCUUACCCACCUUUGACAUGGCAGGAAGUUUCCAGAGAUGGAUUCGUGCUCGAAAGAGAACCUGCACACAGGUGCUGCAUGGCUGUCGUCAGCUCGUGUCGUGAGAUGUUGGGUUAAGUCCCGCGACGAGCGCA